UACAGAGGGUGCGAGCGUUGUUCGGAAUUAUUGGGCGUAAAGGGCGCGUAGGCGGUGCGGUAAGUCACCUGUGAAAUCUCCUGGCUCAACUGGGAGCUUGCAGGCGAAACUGCCGUGCUGGAGUGUGGGAGAGGUGAGUGGAAUUCCCGGUGUAGCGGUGAAAUGCGUAGGUAUCGGGAGGAACACCUGUGGCGAAAGCGGCUCACUGGACCACAACUGACGCUGAGGCGCGAAAGCUAGGGGAGCAAACAGG
Molecule: ribosomal RNA, 253 nt
Filed under: uncultured bacterium
Lineage: Bacteria
Description: partial 16S ribosomal RNA
Rfam family: Bacterial small subunit ribosomal RNA
Source: RNAcentral